This is a long non-coding RNA of Hermetia illucens (black soldier fly), 384 nucleotides long. RefSeq lists it as uncharacterized. The transcript has 3 exons. The record is from RefSeq and is a predicted model, not a curated record. Lineage: Eukaryota; Metazoa; Arthropoda; Insecta; Diptera; Stratiomyidae.
CUCCUAUCCAAUCACCCCAUGAUGCGAAUAAAGCAUUCAAUGCCUGCCCUUUUCGAAUCACGUAACACAUUGUUGUCACAUACGAGAAGGUCCUUUCCAGCCCGAAUUUUGCGUGAAUCAGUGAUUUCAUGAAUCCCCCAUUUAUAUUCUAUUAGAUCGGCCGAGAUAGUCCAGAUUCGUGAUAACUGAAAUAAUUAGUGGUGAUACAGAUGAUGGUGUAAAAUGUGAUUAUCAGAGGAGAAAGUUCAUUGGGGGCAGCGAGUUACGACCCGCUGUGUGAUUGUUGUAAAUAAAAACAUUUGUACGACUUUUUUAUGUUAACGUGAUUACGUAUUUACAAAGUCAUUCCAUAUGCUACGAUUAUAAAUACAAUUUUCAAAGGAA